GGAGUUUUGGAGGAGAGGCAGGGAAGGCUCCAGAGACAGGGACAGAGACCCCUGCCAUUGAGUAGCAGAGAAGGAGUGAAAAUGAUUGGCAUCACUCAACUGAACCUCAAGACCCUUAAUCUAAUCGUGGCUGGGAUACAAGCAAGCUGUAGAAGACUGCAGGCAGUACACUUCCUUCUCUUCAAAAUCCAAAAAGAUGAUAAGCUCCUUGAGAACAGACACCUUAUCAGGGCUUAGAACAGUACCUGGCUCACGGUAAGUGCUUAAUUAAUAAUUGAAUGAGUGACCCAAAGAAGAGGGUGCAGCUCCAAACUGCUCAGAAAAUCAUUAGAAAAGAUAAACCCAGGGACAGGAUGGGAAGGGGAUGGGAUUAGUGACCAGAAAUUCUUUCAAGGUUCUUUAUUCUGCGAUUAUAUGAUUCUAGUCUAAUUAAUAAGAUCUUCCUUUAUGUACUUACCCCCACAAUGUAGGAAAAAAG
Molecule: long non-coding RNA, 478 nt
Organism: Orcinus orca (killer whale)
Lineage: Eukaryota; Metazoa; Chordata; Mammalia; Artiodactyla; Delphinidae
Exons: 3
Source: RefSeq, a predicted model, not a curated record